UACGAAGGGGGCUAGCGUUGCUCGGAAUCACUGGGCGUAAAGCGCACGUAGGCGGGUCCUUAAGUCAGGGGUGAAAUCCCGGAGCUCAACCCCGGAACUGCCUUUGAUACUGGGUGUCUCGAGUCCGGAAGAGGUGAGUGGAAUUCCGAGUGUAGAGGUGAAAUUCGUAGAUAUUCGGAGGAACACCAGUGGCGAAGGCGGCUCACUGGUCCGGUACUGACGCUGAGGUGCGAAAGCGUGGGGAGCAAACAGG
RNAcentral lists this ribosomal RNA (253 nucleotides) under uncultured bacterium. RNAcentral's name for it is "partial 16S ribosomal RNA". It matches the Rfam family "Bacterial small subunit ribosomal RNA", at positions 524 to 776 of the family's 1533-position model. The record is from RNAcentral.